GAUAAGCGUCGGUAAGGUGAUAUGAACCGUUAUAACCGGCGAUUUCCGAAUGGGGAAACCCAGUGUGAUUCGUCACACUAUCAUUAACUGAAUCCAUAGGUUAAUGAGGCGAACCGGGGGAACUGAAACAUCUAAGUACCCCGAGGAAAAGAAAUCAACCGAGAUUCCCCCAGUAGCGGCGAGCGAACGGGGAGGAGCCCAGAGCCUGAAUCAGUGUGUGUGUUAGUGGAAGCGUCUGGAAAGGCGCGCGAUACAGGGUGACAGCCCCGUACACAAAAAUGCACAUGCUGUGAGCUCGAUGAGUAGGGCGGGACACGUGGUAUCCUGUCUGAAUAUGGGGGGACCAUCCUCCAAGGCUAAAUACUCCUGACUGACCGAUAGUGAACCAGUACCGUGAGGGAAAGGCGAAAAGAACCCCGGCGAGGGGAGUGAAAAAGAACCUGAAACCGUGUACGUACAAGCAGUGGGAGCACAGAGCAAUCUGUGUGACUGCGUACCUUUUGUAUAAUGGGUCAGCGACUUAUAUUCUGUAGCAAGGUUAACCGAAUAGGGGAGCCGAAGGGAAACCGAGUCUUAACUGGGCGUUAAGUUGCAGGGUAUAGACCCGAAACCCGGUGAUCUAGCCAUGGGCAGGUUGAAGGUUGGGUAACACUAACUGGAGGACCGAACCGACUAAUGUUGAAAAAUUAGCGGAUGACUUGUGGCUGGGGGUGAAAGGCCAAUCAAACCGGGAGAUAGCUGGUUCUCCCCGAAAGCUAUUUAGGUAGCGCCUCGUGAAUUCAUCUCCGGGGGUAGAGCACUGUUUCGGCAAGGGGGUCAUCCCGACUUACCAACCCGAUGCAAACUGCGAAUACCGGAGAAUGUUAUCACGGGAGACACACGGCGGGUGCUAACGUCCGUCGUGAAGAGGGAAACAACCCAGACCGCCAGCUAAGGUCCCAAAGUCAUGGUUAAGUGGGAAACGAUGUGGGAAGGCCCAGACAGCCAGGAUGUUGGCUUAGAAGCAGCCAUCAUUUAAAGAAAGCGUAAUAGCUCACUGGUCGAGUCGGCCUGCGCGGAAGAUGUAACGGGGCUAAACCAUGCACCGAAGCUGCGGCAGCGACACUAUGUGUUGUUGGGUAGGGGAGCGUUCUGUAAGCCUGUGAAGGUGUGCUGUGAGGCAUGCUGGAGGUAUCAGAAGUGCGAAUGCUGACAUAAGUAACGAUAAAGCGGGUGAAAAGCCCGCUCGCCGGAAGACCAAGGGUUCCUGUCCAACGUUAAUCGGGGCAGGGUGAGUCGACCCCUAAGGCGAGGCCGAAAGGCGUAGUCGAUGGGAAACAGGUUAAUAUUCCUGUACUUGGUGUUACUGCGAAGGGGGGACGGAGAAGGCUAUGUUGGCCGGGCGACGGUUGUCCCGGUUUAAGCGUGUAGGCUGGUUUUCCAGGCAAAUCCGGAAAAUCAAGGCUGAGGCGUGAUGACGAGGCACUACGGUGCUGAAGCAACAAAUGCCCUGCUUCCAGGAAAAGCCUCUAAGCAUCAGGUAACAUCAAAUCGUACCCCAAACCGACACAGGUGGUCAGGUAGAGAAUACCAAGGCGCUUGAGAGAACUCGGGUGAAGGAACUAGGCAAAAUGGUGCCGUAACUUCGGGAGAAGGCACGCUGAUAUGUAGGUGAAGCGACUUGCUCGUGGAGCUGAAAUCAGUCGAAGAUACCAGCUGGCUGCAACUGUUUAUUAAAAACACAGCACUGUGCAAACACGAAAGUGGACGUAUACGGUGUGACGCCUGCCCGGUGCCGGAAGGUUAAUUGAUGGGGUCAGCGCAAGCGAAGCUCUUGAUCGAAGCCCCGGUAAACGGCGGCCGUAACUAUAACGGUCCUAAGGUAGCGAAAUUCCUUGUCGGGUAAGUUCCGACCUGCACGAAUGGCGUAAUGAUGGCCAGGCUGUCUCCACCCGAGACUCAGUGAAAUUGAACUCGCUGUGAAGAUGCAGUGUACCCGCGGCAAGACGGAAAGACCCCGUGAACCUUUACUAUAGCUUGACACUGAACAUUGAGCCUUGAUGUGUAGGAUAGGUGGGAGGCUUGGAAGUGUGGACGCCAGUCUGCAUGGAGCCGACCUUGAAAUACCACCCUUUAAUGUUUGAUGUUCUAACGUUGACCCGUAAUCCGGGUUGCGGACAGUGUCUGGUGGGUAGUUUGACUGGGGCGGUCUCCUCCUAAAGAGUAACGGAGGAGCACGAAGGUUGGCUAAUCCUGGUCGGACAUCAGGAGGUUAGUGCAAUGGCAUAAGCCAGCUUGACUGCGAGCGUGACGGCGCGAGCAGGUGCGAAAGCAGGUCAUAGUGAUCCGGUGGUUCUGAAUGGAAGGGCCAUCGCUCAACGGAUAAAAGGUACUCCGGGGAUAACAGGCUGAUACCGCCCAAGAGUUCAUAUCGACGGCGGUGUUUGGCACCUCGAUGUCGGCUCAUCACAUCCUGGGGCUGAAGUAGGUCCCAAGGGUAUGGCUGUUCGCCAUUUAAAGUGGUACGCGAGCUGGGUUUAGAACGUCGUGAGACAGUUCGGUCCCUAUCUGCCGUGGGCGCUGGAGAACUGAGGGGGGCUGCUCCUAGUACGAGAGGACCGGAGUGGACGCAUCACUGGUGUUCGGGUUGUCAUGCCAAUGGCACUGCCCGGUAGCUAAAUGCGGAAGAGAUAAGUGCUGAAAGCAUCUAAGCACGAAACUUGCCCCGAGAUGAGUUCUCCCUGACUCCUUGAGAGUCCUGAAGGAACGUUGAAGACGACGACGUUGAUAGGCCGGGUGUGUAAGCGCAGCGAUGCGUUGAGCUAACCGGUACUAAUGAACCGUGAGGCUUAACCUUACAACGCCGAAGGUGUUU
RNAcentral lists this ribosomal RNA (2854 nucleotides) under Escherichia coli. RNAcentral describes it as "partial 23S ribosomal RNA". It matches the Rfam family "Bacterial large subunit ribosomal RNA". Lineage: Bacteria; Pseudomonadati; Pseudomonadota; Gammaproteobacteria; Enterobacterales; Enterobacteriaceae. The record is from RNAcentral.